Molecule: long non-coding RNA, 3312 nt
Filed under: Amborella trichopoda
Lineage: Eukaryota; Viridiplantae; Streptophyta; Magnoliopsida; Amborellales; Amborellaceae
Description: long non-coding RNA (ATRI_LNC002334)
Source: RNAcentral
CAUUCUAUAUACACUGAAAUAUAUGACCAUAUAAACAUAUAUUAACAGUUUAUAUAUAAAUAUAUAUAUACAGUGUGUCUAUAUAUUAUAUGUAUAUACUGAUAUGUUUAUACGUGUAUGUAUAAACUAACUAUCAGUUAUAUAUAGAUUAAUAUGCGCAUGCACAUGCACCCUUCUCAAGUAUAGUACUUAUCUUGCUUCUUUCAUGCAAAAAUGGAGUGAAUUUUCUGAAACUUUACUUGUGGUUUGCAAUUUUAUUAAGAAACUUUUUCUUAAUACAUACACACUCUUAACACACACAGUCUUUAUUAAGUAACUUUUUCUUAACACACACACUUUCUUCUUUCAUGCAAAUAUGGAGUGAAUUUUCUAGAGUAUUACUUGUGGUUUGCAAUUGUAUUAAGUAACUUUUUCUUAACACUCACCACAUAUACACACACACACUCACACUCACAUUCACAUUCACACUCACUCUCACUCUCACACUCACACUCACACUCACACUCACUCUCACACUCAGACACACACAUAUACACUCACACACACACUCACACGCACACGAACACACACUCACAUUCACACUCCCACUCACACUCACACUCACACACACAUACUCAUACACUCGCACACGCUCACUCUCACACAUUCACGCUCAUGCUCACAUUCACACUCAGAUAUAUAGUACACUUAUACGCAUGUUGUGUAUGGACUGAUGUGGGUAUAUAUACUAUGAUGUGUUUCUGCAUGUAUGUAUACAGUUGUUUGCUUUCAGUUUAUACAAUUAUCAAUGUAUGUAUAUAAUGAUACGUGCACGCACAUGCACCCUUAUGCAUUGAUAAGUGCGUAUGUACUGUAAAUGUUUACACUAAUACAUGCAUACUAUUACAGAUAUAUAUGACCAUAUAGACAUUUAUUAGCACUUUACAUAUAUAUAUACAUAGUGUGCAUAUAUACGAUAUGCAUAUAGUGAUAUGUUUUUACGUGUAUGUAUAAACUUCCUAUCAGUUAUAUAUACAUUGAUAUGCGCCUGCACAUGCACCCUUGCGCAUUGAUAGGGCAUACGUACAUUUCUAUAUUCACUUAUAUGUAUGACCUUAUGGACAUUUCUUAUCUGUUUAUACAGUUAUUGGUGUUUAUGUACACUGAUAUGUAUAUACUCACACUCAUGUGCAUAUCUGUAUUGGGUGUAUAUAUACACUAAUAUAUAAGACUAUAUGUGUACUUAUUAUCAAUGAUAUAUAUAAUUAUUAGCUCAAUUUGUGUACGUAUUGAUGUAUAUCAAUAGAUACCAUUCUUUUCAGAGUAUAUAUAUAUAUACUGAUACAUAUAACCAUAUAAUACAUUAGUUAUAAGCUAUAUAUACAAUUAUUAGAAUGUAAAAAUACAUUGAUAUGUGUGUGUGUGAUGUCUAUAUGUAUAUGAUGUGUAUAUACGGAUUUGUAUGUAUGUGUAAAGUGCAUAACUAUAUAUAUACAAUACAUUAAUAUAUACCUUGAUGUAUAUGACCAUAUAUACACUUAUUAGUACUAUAUACCUUUAUUAACGUAUAUGUAUACAGAUUUAUAUACUACACACACUCACAAGCACAAUCACUCUCACCCUCACCUUCACACUCACACUCACACUCACACUCCCUCACUCAUACACACAUACAAUCACACGCUCACACUCACACUCGCACUCGCACUCUCACUCUCACUCUCAGUCUCACUGUCACUCUCACUCUCACUCGCAUUCACACUGACACUGACACUGACACUUAUAAACACUCACACUCACACUCACACUCACACUCACACUCACACUCACAAAUAUAUAUACUAUCGCUUGUAAUCAGAUAUACAAUUGCGAAAUUCCUUAUUACUUUGUAUAAAAUUAGGUAUAAGAAUGGGUUUCUUCUCUUGAUGAAUUGGGUAUGUUGAAUACCCUAUUGUGAUAGUCCAUGUAAAUUUUUUAUCUUAUUUGUACUUGUUUUUUAUUAUUAUUGAUGAGCUUCAUCUUCAUUGAGUUUUCUUGUAAAUCAACAAGCACGAAAGCAACUUAUCAUUGAGGCGGAUCUCUUUACAUUUUUCGAUAUUUGAGAUCUUGAUAUUGCAAGCUUGAUUUGCUUGAUGGUUCUUUCUUCUCUAUUAUAGUAUUGCUCUUGCUUCUUUCAUGCAAAUAUAGUGUGAAUUUUCUAGAGCUUUACUUGUGGCUUGCAAUUUUAUUAAGUAACUUUUUCUUAACACACACACACUCUUGCUUCUUUCAUGCAAAUAUGGAGUUAAUUUUUUGGAGCUUUACUUGUGUUUUUGCAAUUUUAUUAAGGAACUUUUUUUUUACACACACAUGCACCACACACACACACACACUCACACUCAUACUCACUCUCACACUAACACUCACACUAAUGUAUAGGAAUGGGUUUAUAUAUACACUAAUGUAUAAGGCCAUGUAUAUACUUAUUAUCAGUGAUAUAUACAGUUAGCAGCUCUUUAUGUUUAUGUAUUGAUGUAUAUAAGCAUAGAAUACAUUAGUUAUCGGCAAUAUAGACAAUUACUAGUGUGUGAAAAAUACAUUGAUGUGUGUGUGAUGUUUGUGUAUGUGUAAAGUACAUAACUGUAUAUAUACAGUGUAUUAAUAUUUACUUUUAUGAAAAUACUAUUAAUGGCACAAAUUAAAGCUCAAAGCAUAAUUUUUUACUGAUAAAUAAGAAGCAGAGAGUGUGACUACCGGACCAAGUAAUCAAUAUUUUAUUGUUGAUUGUGUAAACUGUAAACUUACAGGAGCAAGCAAUUGUACAUAUAGGAUUAGUUCCCCAAACUUAAUCCUUCAGCUCUGUUUCCUCAAGAAAAUGAAAAGCCCUCUUCAAACUAUCCCAAAUCAGAGAGAAAAACCCUUUUCAAACUAUCCCAAAUCAGUUUUUCAUCUUCCUAAAUCAACAUCCCAUCUUCCUUUUCUCUCUCUAAAAAUCAGUUAAGGCCUCUUCCAUUAGAGUUCUUUCUUUUCUCUCUCUAAAAAUCACUUAGGGCAGCCCCUUCCAUUAGGGUUUGUGAAAACUAUUUUCUACUUCUUUCUUCUUGCUAUAAACCCUAAUGGCUAUGAGCCGAGCCAUAUUUUCUUCUCUUCCUUUCCUUCGUCGUUCUUCUUCUUCUCUUUACACAGUAAACAUAGAUGUAAAUCCCAAAUUUAUAUGAACUUCUUCCAACUAAAGAAAUUUAUGAAACUUUAACCAUAGUUAUGGAGUGACCAUAGACACCAUACCAUAAUUAAAUAACUGUCGUGACAAAACAAAAAUCAUGUGUUUACUUUUUGGUACCUGCUAAGUAGGAG